GUGAGUCGACAAGUCGGAGUUGGAAGAGCUGGAUAUGUAGGUGAGAGGCUUGCCAGCUGAGGUGCGGGAUACGGCAACAAAGAUCUCGUACGCGGUGGCUCGCAGGUCGGAAUCGGUGAGCUGGGAUGAGAGUUGGCCGAGUGGAGACUCGAGAUCGGAGGCAGUUAGUUUAGAAGGCAUUGUUGGUGGCGGUUGGAGAGGCGAUGGUGUUGACUCUCUCUUGGAAUGGCCUAAUG
RNAcentral lists this unclassified non-coding RNA (236 nucleotides) under Hevea brasiliensis (rubber tree). The record is from RNAcentral. Lineage: Eukaryota; Viridiplantae; Streptophyta; Magnoliopsida; Malpighiales; Euphorbiaceae.